GCUGCCCCUAGAGGUAUUACAGGUGUGGCUUCUAUGUCACAUGUAUAUCAUUAGGUGACCGAGAGGCUAUGUCACACUCAGUGUUCUAAUCUGUAAGCAUCUGAAUUAUUAGCAGCCUAACAUU
This is a small nucleolar RNA of Rattus norvegicus (Norway rat), 124 nucleotides long. Ensembl annotates it as small nucleolar RNA SNORA17. The record is from Ensembl. NCBI's taxonomy places the organism in Eukaryota, Metazoa, Chordata, Mammalia, Rodentia, Muridae.